Rattus norvegicus (Norway rat) is the source of this 6962-nucleotide non-coding RNA. NCBI's taxonomy places the organism in Eukaryota, Metazoa, Chordata, Mammalia, Rodentia, Muridae. The record is from RefSeq and is a predicted model, not a curated record.
CUUAUAAGACCCCCCCCACCCCCCUUAAGUGGUCCCUUCCUAGAUGGUGGAAAUGUCUUAAUUUACAGAUAGAAGUUUCUCAGUGUUUUUCUAUGUGACUCUUGUUGAUUGCUAGACUAGAACCUAACACAAGUUGCUAUUGCAUUAAAUGUAUUUAGCCCUUUUUAGUUCUUAAUAGUAGCUAGCCCAGAGGACUAGAUGCUUUCUCACCAGUUUUUGCGAAGAUGCUAUUGCACUGGGGAUAAUUCAAAUCCUUCUAAGUGGUGUCCUGCUAGUCUCAGGACUGCCGGGCUAACGUUUGUUGGUGAGGCAUUGUGGAUCUGAUUGCCAAAAGCUGAGUUAGUAGCCAGUUUGGGUCAGUUUAGAGCUGUCUGUCUAACAUCUGAAAGGACUGAGUACUCCUCAGAUAAAGCAGAGGACCCUCCUUCAGAAUUCUCUCAGAGCUACAGCUGCUGUCAGAUACUUCUGAUCCCAGAGGCAGGCAGACCUCUGAGACCUGGUCUAGAAAGUGAGUUCCAGGACAGGCUACACAGAGAAACUCUGUCUUGAAAAAAGGUGGGGGGAGGGGAGGAGGAGGGUGGGGAGGAGGAGGGGUUUGGGAUUUAGCUCAGUGGUAGAGCGCUUGCCUAGCAAGCACAAGGCCCUGGGUUUGGUCCUCAGCUCUGGAAAAAAAAAGACAAAAUAACAGCAGCAGGAGGAGGAGGAGGAGAAGAAGAAGCAAUGAAAGAAAAAGAAUUCUUUUCAGAGGUUUGAUGGGGUGCAGGAUUAGAGGACUGCAGCCAUGCCUCAGGCUGGUGGGUUAUUUUCUUCUCUUCGUCCAAACUUGAGCUGUCUCAAACUAGAGAGCUCAAGAGAUCCCCUCCCUCAGGCUCUCUAAUAACUGACUAUAGGCCUGGGCCACCUCAUCAGUUUAAUGGAGACCAUGUAACACUCAGUAUGGGCAGCUCUUUAGGGCUACAUGUGGCAAGUGACCACUUGGUUGUCAGUAAUCCAGACUGAGCAUUAUACACUGUAUUUCAAAGUCAACACAGGAAAAGCAGAAAUCAUUUUAAAAUACUGAUUGAAGUUGGGUUGAAGAGAUGACUCAGCAUUUGUGAGCACUUCCUGCUCUUGCAGAAGAUUGAGGUUUGGUUCCCACCACCCACACGGCAGCUUACAGUCUUCUGUAACCAGUUCCAGAGGAUUGGUUCCACUCUUCUGUUUCCCAGUGGUGCUGCACACAUAUGGUACACAUGUGUACAUUUUGGCGAAAACUCAUACACAUAAAAUUAAAAUUUGAAAUGGUGGUUAGAGUUUAAAUAUUUUUAAUAUAUUGGAUUGUGUCUCCACGUGUGUCCCUUAUCUAGCUUGUGUGCCUGGGACCCCCUGAGCACAAACCCUAGUCCUCCCACACAGCCCCAUUUCUACUGACAAGAUGAAACAAUCUUGAACCAGGAAAAACUUGCCAAACUGCAGGCCCACGUUUGCAUUGUUGGGAAAGGUACCUCCCACAGAAAAAGUGGUUCACAGAGCAGCCAGAGCAGAUGGUAAAACUACAGUUCUCCUUAGAGAGGUUAGUAAACAGCGACUCUGCUACUGAAGAGGUGAACAUGAUUACAAACCAAGGAAUUGAUCCAUUUUAACAACCCUGAAGUUCAGGCGUCGCUGGCAGCAAACCUUCACCAUUAACAGGUCACAGGAGACAAAGCAGCUGACAGAAAUGCUUCCCGGCAUCCUAAACCAGUUUGGUGCAGACAGUCUGACUAGUUUAAGGAGGCUGGCUGCAGCUGCCCAAACAAUCUGGAUGGAAAAGCACCGUUCACUACUGAAGAGAUGAAGUUCCAGGUCUGGUGGGGAAUUUUGAUGAAGCGUCUAAGAGCGAGGCAAACUGAAUGGAGGUGGCUUCUGAAGACGAUGACCCUUGCGGAAGUCACAGAACCUGCUAUUUUAUACCAUGGCUGCUUUCAAAAUUGUUUUGUUUGUGGAUCUGAUAAAAUCUAGAUCUCUAGCCGGGGGUGAUGACACAGCUUUAAAAUAGCAAUUGGGAGUGAGAGGCAGGUGGAUCUCUGUGAAUUUGGGCCAGCCUUGUCUACAAAGUGAGUUCCAGGAUAGCCAGGGCUGUUACACAGAGAAACCCUGUCUCCACAAAACAAAAAUCUAGAAGUGUUAUAUGUUUAAUGCCCAGCCCCCGGACACCGGAGCUCUUUUCAGUUUUUCUUUUUUUGUUUGUUUUGUUUGUUUUGUUUUGUUUGCGUUUUGCCUAUACACAGUUCAUUCCUUGUGACAGAAUAAGCUGGAGAGGCCUGGGAGUAAAGUUUGAAAUGUGUUAAUAAAAUUCUCUGCAUAGUAAAAAAUACCUUUCCAAUGUGGCUAUUAGAAAGUUUUUUGCUCUAGAAUACACAACGAGGCAGCCAUUAGUGACGCGUAACUGACCUUAGACUGGGGAUCCAGGUUAAGAUAAAGGAGCAGUGAUGGGGUGAAGAGCACUGGGUGUGGUGGUUUGAAGAGAAAUGGCCCUCCAUAGACUCCUGUUUGAAAGUUUGGCCCAUAGGGAGUGGCACUAUGAGGAGGUGUGCCCUUCUUGGAUUAGUGUGCCCUUGGAGGAAGUGUCUCUGAGAGAGGGCUUUGAGAUCUCAUAUGCUCAAGCUACAUACAGUGUGGCUUACAGUCUCCUACUGCCUUUUGGGUCGGGUCCUUCUCCAGCAUCAUGUCUGCCUGCACACUCCCAUGCUUCCUGCCACGAUGAUAACUGACUGAACCACAGAACCUAUAAGCCAGCCCCAAUUAAAUGUUGUCCUUAUAAGAGUUGCUGUGGUCCUGGUGUCUCUUCACAUCAAUAAAACCCAAACUUAGAUAUUGGGACAGGUAGAGCUGAGGGCUUGAGAGAAGUGUAUCUGCCAAAAAUGAAUAUAAUUUCAGCUGACUUUAAUUAAAGCUUUACUUCUCUUUCUCUGCCCAACUUAUACAUGUAUGAGUCUUUCUUGUAGAUCAGGGAUGUUUAAUGCCAGAAAGCCUUCCUUUACAAGUGUUCAUGUCUGUGGCUUUGCAGAUCUCUUUUCUAACUUUAUUAUGGUAAAUGUUCCCGUUCCCUUCCAAUAUCUUGUGGGCAUCUUGAGCAGAGAACCUUUGUUUUAAUAUCUUUGGACCUGGUGACUGAUAUCCAAACACUAAUGUGGGGAACAGGGAAAAAGAAAAGGGGAGGGAAAUAAAUUCAUUUAGUUGUCUCAGGAAUAGCAGGUACUUAGUCUGCUUCAUUUCUUUCUAACCCUGAGAGAUGAGGUUGAGAGCCCAAAGUGCGAAGGGCAGAUGUGAGGAACUGAGGUAGGUGAGGAAAGACUCUGACCAGGAUCGCUUUGGAGCCAUUUUGUUUAUACUCUGGCAUUCACCCGACCAUCCACCUCCUCCUGCCCUUCUGGCUUCCCUAUGAGUAGGCUUUCCUAUUUUGUACUUCUUUCGCCAUGUUAGGAAUUGAGCCCAGAGCUCACAUGUGCUAAGCAACCUUUUUCCCUCUAAGUUACAUCCUCAGCCCCUACUCCAUUCCUCUUGAUCAAGGGUACUCUAUCAACAGAUCUGAGCUCUCAUUUCUUGGUAAAGCCUGAAAAAUUCCCUUGUGGGCAACAGUUAGGAAGGCAAGAGGCACCAUCUCCAAAUGUAAAGAAGGCAGAAUUAGAACUUUAUCAUGUGUACCUAUCAGUUUGCCCUUCUUAUUUAGUCUCUUUAAGAUGAGGUUUUCUGUACUCUGUGAAACGGCAUAGCAUGCCUUACCAUACAUGCUAUCACCAACUAGUGCCCACCAUAGGACCUAGGCCUCGUGGCGCUAGAAUAUCAUUCCUGUUCUGAGAGCUGUUGGUGCCAUUACAGCUGCUAAAUUCUUGGGUUCCUAAAAUAACAAAACAGUUGCAAGUGUUUGGUGCAAGGGCAGCCAAUGCUGUCCCCAUCCCCAGCCAUUGUUAUCUUGAAAUCAGCAGCUGUGACAACCUGCUCCAGAUCUUCCCAAGAGGAUCUCACCUUAGAGUUUACCCAGACUCCUGUCCCCUCCCUGCUGCCAGUGGCACAAACCCUGUCCCAGAUGAUGUAGUUUUGGGGGCACAGUGCUAGUAAUAGGUGUUUCUGAGAGCUUCCCAGGAAAAGUUGCACAUUAAAUUUUAAUCAUGUAGUAAUAUGAAAUUUAUAAUGAAAAGUAGCAGAGCCCAUAUGUAUAGUGCAGUUUUUGUUCUGGAAUAAUUUACUGCAUCGUCCUCAUUUCUCCUCUUUUUGUUUCUGGUGAUCAAAUAGAGGGUUUUGCCCAUGCUGGUCACUCCACCACUGAGUUACAUCCCCCAGCACUGGUCUCCCCAUUCUGUGUGUGUGUGUGUGUGUGUGUGUGUGUGUGUGUGUGUGUGUGUGCGUGUGUAUGCACAGGUGCACAUGUAUGUGCAGGUUCCAAUAAAAGCCCAAAGAGAGCAUGUGGUCUGGAUCUGCAGUUGUAAAUGAUUGUAAGAUGACUGGUGUGGGUGCUGGGAGCCAGACUGUGAGAGCUCUUAACUGCUGAAUCAUCUCUCCAGCCUCCCUCCUGACCCUUUUCUGAGACAGUCUUCCCAUGUUGCCUAGGCUGGCUUUGAAUUCACAGUCCUCUGCCUUAGUCUCCUAAACCCUGGAAUUGGCACCACCACAUCUGGCUUUCUUGGCUUUCUAGUCCUGAUAUUCUAGAUUUUUAUGACAUUAAAAGGUCUCUGAGGAAACAGGUACUUGUUUUUCUCUUUUCUUUUUAUUUGUUUGUUUACUUGGUUGGUUGGUUGGUUUUGUCUUUCCAGAGAGACUUUCUUUGGCUCUCCUGUAGCCACUCUAUGGACCAGGCUGGCCUGGAAUUCAGAGAUCUGACUGUCACUGCCUCUGCUUCCUGAGUGCUGAGAUUAAAGGUGUGCACCACCUCCCAGCAACAGGUAAGAUUAAAAACAAUUGUAUAGAUUUUCUGGAGGUGGUUAUGAAUAUUGAUUCUGUUAUUCAUUGUUAAAGAGCCUGGCCUGGCAAACAUUUGACAUUUUUCAUAAUUAGAAUAACUUAAGAAGCAUAAGAAGAUGUCUGAGAUGGAACGGCAGUACCUCCUGAGAAACAAGUGAGAGCCACUCAGGAGUGGAAGCAUGCUGCUUGCAGUCUUCUUUAUGUUUAAGUAGUAAAGAUACAUACAAAAUAAAGGUGAAAAAUUCAAAGUAUGUAUCCUUAAAAGACUACAAAGCCAUGUUCGAGGAGACUCACCAAUCUGUUCAAAGACGUUAAGAGGAGCUGAAGCAGUCGCAGCAGUUGAGAAGCUGAAACACACAGCCUUGCAUUUGGAGGCCCUAAGCAGAAAUGCUGACACACUUAGGCCGUGUCCUGGUUCCUCAGCUUCAGAGACUCAGACAAGCACACGGAGAACAAUCCCACUUUAUUAAUACAUCAGUGUCACAGAUGUGCCCAGUACAGCCAGAGUCCUGAGCAGAUAAAGUGCUACUGCAGGGACCUGGCAACAGGAGGAGGGAGCCAGUUCAUCUCCUCCAAGUCCCCAGCCUGAACGGUAUUUCUACUACACAAAAGUAAGGGCAGCUAGUAAUCCAGUCUAUAGAUACUCUGAGCUAAGAACAGAAAACCAUACUAGUGGGCUGUGUGCAGAGCAAGAAAAAAGGGAAGUCAGAAGGUAUCCAUCCCUUCCUCAAAUGGAACAUAGAGAUACCAAACAAUUGUCUUCAACUUCCUGGAUGUGGUGUCUAUUAAGGAAUGAGCCAGGUCUGCUACUCCUUCCCAGGGACUCAGAACCAUGAUGUAGACACUUUCUUACACCUAAGAAAAAGUACCAUUUUCUAACUAUGAAAAACUUACUGACCUUACUUCGCCAGCCCCCCAAAAGCAAGAGUAAUAAACUUGGCAGCAUUUAAGAAGCAUCAGUGACCAGGCAGAGGCAGGUGGAUUUCUGUGAGUUCAAAGCUAGCCUCAUCUACAUACUGAGUUUCAGGCCAGCCUAGCCUACAUAAUAAGAUCCUGUCUCAAAAACAAAACAAAAAAGCACUAAUAAACCCAAGACUUCCUAUAAUUAUCUCUAUUAUGGUAUCUCUAUUAUGCCUAGGCAUUAAAAUAAUUCGGUUAGAAAACUCAGAUGUUGUGAAUGAACUGAGUGAACUAUGACACGGAGUCCAGUUCACCCGUUGUUUCUAUUCCUAGAAAACAACUGACUGAUGAUUUCCAGAGACAAGAAGGAAGAGUAAAGGCCAUCUGUUCACGCUGGUGCCAUACAGUGCUGAGCUGCAAAGGGCCAAAUCAGUGCCUCUUUCAAGAACCUGAGAAUUCCUGACCUUACUGGCCCUCAGGAAAUCCAGAGACACUAGAAGGAGCCAGUAGUUUGCUUCCUUUGCAACCAAGAGUCCAGGCUUGAGGUAGAGCUCUCAAGUAGGGAAAUGAGGGUGACAUCUCCAGUCUGUCCUAAGAGAAGAGCUGGCGGAUGUGAUGCUGUAAUGAUCGAAAGUGCAGGGGCCUCAGGGAAGGAGCGUGUUCCUCCCACAUAAGGGGGCUCUCAUGGCCAGGCUGAAGGUUGGGACACUAGGAAAGACAAGAUUCGAAGUUCUCAAACUGCUCUGAGCCAAGGGUAAUCUUGAAGGAUUACUUAUACUUAGCUAUUUUUCUGACUUAGUCAAAUAUUUCUAUAACCGAAAUGAAGAGAAGAUUCCAUUGCAGGCACCUCUGUGUCUGAGAUGACACAAUAGCAAAAAAAAAAAAAAAAGCAGUUAUAAAGGUUAUUCUCAUUUGUUUAUUUUUAUCUUUGUCUCUUAAGACUAUCCCUGACUGACCUGGAACUGAAUAUGUAGACCAAGCUGGUCUCAUACGCAUAUCUGCCCACCUCUCUCUGCCUCUGUCUUCUGGGUGCUGGUAUUAAAGGCACAUGCCACAGCCAGCUGUUACUGGCUCUUAAUGCUGUCAGCUAGCUUUCUUCUUUCCUUGUACUGAGGGCUUGCCCAUCCUCACUUCCCUGCCCG